CAGUAGUGAUAUGCUUGUCUCAAAGAUUAAGCCAUGCAUGUCUGAGUACAGACCGAUCUAAGGUGAAACCGCGAAUGGCUCAUUAAAUCAGUCAUAAUUCCUUGGAUAGUGAAAAACUUCCUCGGAUAACUGUGGAAAAUCCAGAGCUAAUACGUGCAACUGAGCUCCGACCUAGGCGCGAGCCUUGGGAAGAGCGCAUUUAUUAGAUUCAAAACUGACCGGGGUAUUCCUUCGGGAUGCUCCGUUUGUCAAAAGUUUGAUGACUCCGGAUAACUUAGCCGAGCGCUACGGUCCUUGUACCGGCGCCGUAUCUUUCAAGUGUCUGCCUUAUCAGCUUUCGAUUGUAGGUUAAACGCCUACAAUGGCUGUAACGGGUAACGGGGAAUCAGGGUUCGAUUCCGGAGAGGGAGCCUGAGAAACGGCUACCACAUCUAAGGAAGGCAGCAGGCACGCAAAUUACCCACUCCCAGCCCGGGGAGGUAGUGACGAAAAAUAACGAUGCGAGACUCUUCCGAGGCCUCGCAAUCGGAAUGAGUCCAUUUUAAAUCCUUGGACGAGGAUCCAUUGGAGGGCAAGUCUGGUGCCAGCAGCCGCGGUAAUUCCAGCUCCAAUAGCGUAUAUUAAAGUUGCUGCGGUUAAAAAGCUCGUAGUUGGACUUCCUAGAUCCAUUUCGCGAGCGAGUCGCUCGUUGAGCUAGCCUCUCGCGUAAGUUACUCGGUGUCGUCGCGACGACGCGCGGGUGUAGGGGGGUCGUAAACUUUUGUUCGCGCGCGCGUUAGUGCGUUCGUCGCGGAGCCGUUCGCGCGAUUCAUAUCUCUUCUCUCACGAGUCGAGCGUGUGUUUCGUUAGCGUCGUCCGUGUCGGCCCUAGCGUCGCGUCGCUGCAUUUGCGAGCGAUCAUUCUCUCUCUCGCGACGCUCGCCCUUCGGUAUCUUGCGGACGGCGCGAGGUUGUCUUCGAGUAUCGCUCGUUCGCGUUUGGUACAAUUAAAAUUUGGUCGGCUCGCUCGGAGUGCUCUUCACCGAGUGUUCCAGGGUGGCCGACACGUUCACUUUGAAAAAAUUAGAGUGCUUAAAGCGGGCUCAAACGUGGCCUGAAUGUCUGUGCAUGGAAUGAAGUAACAGGACCUCGAUUCUGUUUUUUUUGUCGGUUUUAUUGAACCGAGGUAAUGAUUAAAAGGGACAGACGGUGGCAUUAGUAUUGCGGCGCUAGAGGUGAAAUUCUUGGACCGCUGCAAGACUAACUACUGCGAAAGCAUUUGCCGAGAAUGUUUUCAUUAAUCAAGAACGAAAGUUAGAGGAUCGAAGGCGAUCAGAUACCGCCCUAGUUCUAACCCUAAACUAUGCUAACUAGCGAUCCGCCGGAGUCAUUCCCACGACUCGGCGGGAAGCCCCAGGGAAACCAAAGUCUUUGAGUUCCGGGGGAAGUAUGGUUGCAAAGCUGAAACUUAAAGGAAUUGACGGAAGGGCACCACCAGGAGUGGAGCCUGCGGCUUAAUUUGACUCAACACGGGAAACCUCACCAGGCCCGGACAUCAUAAGGAUUGACAGGUUGAGAGCUCUUUCUCGAUUUGAUGGGUGGUGGUGCAUGGCCGUUCUUAGUUGGUGGAGUGAUCUGUCUGGUUGAUUCCGAUAACGAACGAGACUCUACCCUACUAACUAGUCGGCGGAUCGUAACCCUGAGAUGGUUAGUCGGUAUAGGUUGGUUUGUCCGAGGCGAGCGUCGUUUCCUUUUCUCGUCCGCUCGUGUGCGUGUUGGCGGCUCGUGCGCGUCGUUGGCGUUUUUGUCGCGUUGGUCUUCGGAUUGGCGUGGCGGAGCGUUUUCGUGCGUGCGAGUUCGUUGGCGCGUGUCGCGGGCGCGGCGUUAGGGUCUUUCGGCUUCGUCGAAGCUUCCUUCUGAUUGCCACUACUGCUGGGGGCGUCCGUCGCAAUGUAUCUUCUUAGAGGGAUCAGCGGCGUAUAGUCGCACGAGAAAGAGCAAUAACAGGUCUGUGAUGCCCUUAGAUGUCCUGGGCCGCACGCGCGCUACAAUGUAGAGACCAGCGUGCUUUCCCCCUCCGAAAGGAGCGGGUAACCCGUUGAAACCCCUACCCGAUUGGGAUUGGGGAUUGCAAAUAUUUCCCAUAAACGAGGAAUUCCCAGUAAGCGCGAGUCAUUAACUCGCGCUGAUUACGUCCCUGCCCUUUGUACACACCGCCCGUCGCUACUACCGAUUGAAUGAUUCAGUGAGGGCAUCGGACUGGCGCCUUCGGUUUAGUAACAUAGACCUUAGGCUGACGGAAAGAUGUCCGAACUUGAUCAUUUAGAGGAAGUAA
Molecule: ribosomal RNA, 2313 nt
Filed under: Acanthocope sp. MB H2
Lineage: Eukaryota; Metazoa; Arthropoda; Malacostraca; Isopoda; Munnopsidae
Description: bacterial SSU rRNA
Rfam family: Eukaryotic small subunit ribosomal RNA
Source: RNAcentral